RNAcentral lists this ribosomal RNA (502 nucleotides) under uncultured bacterium. RNAcentral describes it as "partial 16S ribosomal RNA". It matches the Rfam family "Bacterial small subunit ribosomal RNA", at positions 28 to 507 of the family's 1533-position model. The record is from RNAcentral.
GACGAACGCUGGCGGCGUGCCUAAUACAUGCAAGUCGAACGAACCGCGACUGAGUGCUUGCACUUGGUCAAGGUGAGUGGCGAACGGGUGAGUAACACGUGGGUAACCUACCUCAUAGUGGGGGAUAACAGUCGGAAACGACUGCUAAUACCGCAUAGGACAUGGAAUCACAUGAUUCUGUGAGGAAAGGUGGCGCAAGCUAUCGCUAAGAGAUGGACCCGCGGUGCAUUAGCUAGUUGGUAGGGUAAGGGCCUACCAAGGCGAUGAUGCAUAGCCGACCUGAGAGGGUGAUCGGCCACAUUGGGACUGAGACACGGCCCAAACUCCUACGGGAGGCAGCAGUAGGGAAUCUUCCGCAAUGGACGCAAGUCUGACGGAGCAACGCCGCGUGAGUGAAGAAGGUCUUCGGAUCGUAAAGCCCUGUUGUUAGAGAAGAACAGCGCAUAGAGUAACUGUUAUGCGUGUGACGGUAUCUAACCAGAAAGCCACGGCUAACUACGUG